AAUAUUCUAAGUGGGGGAGAGUUGUAACAUCCCGAUUUUUAUUAAUAUUUUUAUUAAUUAUAUUAGUAAUUAUAUUGUUUGGUGUUUUUAAUAAUAACUUAUUUAUUUAGUUAUUAUGUGAUAUAAUAAUUAUUUAAGUAUUUAAUUAUGUGAGUGUUUGUGUUGUUUGACUUAAUUGAGUUAUUAGAGAGAUAUAACUAAAUGGGCCUAAGUGAUAGAAACAUAAUGGAUGGAUUGAUGGGUUAAGCCCAAUUGACAUAAGUGAGAUAGUAAGAGAAGGUUAGGGUUUUAGAGGUUACUAUUUUCAUUUGGGGGAAAAGAUAGGAAGAAGAGAAAAGAGGCAAAAGGGAAGAGAACAAUGGUGGAAGAGAAAAGCUAGAAGAAACCUCAUUUUCGCAGCAAGUUUCAGCAUUGAGUCACCUUAGCAAAAUGGAUGUAUCUCUCAAUCCAACCGUUGGAUCGUCGCGUGGUUUUGACACAACGUUCCUGACUCAUAGAGGUGUGUCUCCAAAUUAUGUUUGAAGGAUUUAUUUUGGAGAAAAACUUAGAGCUAUGGUGAAAGAGUUCAUAUUUGCCAAGGUACUCAAGUAUAACUAUGGAAGUUGUAGGUUCAUCGUAUCCAGUUGGUGUGUCGCUCUGAUACGUAGCACUCGGGGGGUUGUCUAUAUUGUUGUUUCUAUGUUGUUCAUGUUUUAGUUGUUGAGUUCCAAAUUGGAUAUUGAGAAGUACUAUGAUGUUUGAAUUUGUUUCCGAUUAAAUAAGAUGAUUUGUUUAUAAAGCUGAAUGUUAUG
Molecule: long non-coding RNA, 791 nt
Organism: Vicia villosa (hairy vetch)
Lineage: Eukaryota; Viridiplantae; Streptophyta; Magnoliopsida; Fabales; Fabaceae
Exons: 3
Source: RefSeq, a predicted model, not a curated record